UGCAGACGACACUCCAAAAUGCAGCUGAAGGUUAGACAUCCGUGUCCGAGAUCUCUGCAACCCACGACACUCAGAUCCCAGCACUGAAGAGGAUCCUGCUACAUGUCUAUACAUCCAGUCAUUACGUUUUCAAAAUAAAAGAAGACAAAGCUGUCAAAUCAUAGUGGGACCUUGCCAAUGAGAGGAAAUGGGGGAAAGUCAUAGAGGAGUUGACUCAACCAUGACAGGAGGAAGGCAUCUGAGAUCAUAUUCCUCCCCACCCCCCCUCUGGAACAGAACCUGUGGCAACGGCGGAUCUGUUGGGUCGCAAACAGGUCUACUUGGGGAGUGCCCCAUGCUCAGAAAAGCAGGUCCUUGCCGUCAAAGGGGAGAUCUUGCAUCACAGACUGUGCCUCCGCGGAGAGCCCAGACAACAGUAGCCGUGAUGCCCUGCGCAUGGACACGGCUGAAGCCCUGGACCGGCAUCCAAUGCCUCCUGAAGAUCAGCCUUUGCGGUGGUGGUGCCCUCCUCCCCCAGCGCCUUAAAAUCCUUCCAUUCGCAUUCGGGCGGGGCUCAAAUUUCAGCAGUGACCCCCACAAGUUAAACUCAUAACGACUGAGGAGGGCCUGGUGGAUGGCCACCUGGAGCUGGA
Molecule: long non-coding RNA, 632 nt
Organism: Gopherus evgoodei (Goodes thornscrub tortoise)
Lineage: Eukaryota; Metazoa; Chordata; Testudines; Testudinidae
Exons: 3
Source: RefSeq, a predicted model, not a curated record